CCUACGGGUGGCAGCAGUGGGGAAUAUUGGACAAUGGGGGCAACCCUGAUCCAGCGAUGCCGCGUGAGUGAAGAAGGCCUUCGGGUUGUAAAGCUCUUUCACCUACGAAGAUGAUGACGGUAGUAGGAGAAGAAGCACCGGCUAACUCUGUGCCAGCAGCCGCGGUAAGACAGAGGGUGCUAGCGUUGUUCGGAAUGACUGGGCGUAAAGGGCGCGUAGGUGGUUAGACAAGUCAGAUGUGAAAGCCCUGGGCUUAACCUAGGAGGUGCAUUUGAUACUGUUUGACUGGAGUGCGAGAGAGGAAAGCGGAAUUCCUAGUGUAGAGGUGAAAUUCGUAGAUAUUAGGAGGAACACCAGAGGCGAAGGCGGCUUUCUGGCUCGCAACUGACGCUGAGGCGCGAAAGCGUGGGGAGCAAACAGGAUUAGAUACCCCUGUAGUC
This 440-nucleotide ribosomal RNA is filed under the name uncultured bacterium. RNAcentral's name for it is "bacterial SSU rRNA". It matches the Rfam family "Bacterial small subunit ribosomal RNA", at positions 338 to 795 of the family's 1533-position model. The record is from RNAcentral.